Molecule: ribosomal RNA, 253 nt
Filed under: uncultured bacterium
Lineage: Bacteria
Description: partial 16S ribosomal RNA
Rfam family: Bacterial small subunit ribosomal RNA
Source: RNAcentral
UACGUAGGGUGCGAGCGUUAAUCGGAAUUACUGGGCGUAAAGCGUGCGCAGGCGGUUCGCCGUGUCCGAUGUGAAAGCCCCGGGCUUAACCUGGGAAUGGCAUUGGAAACUGGCGGGCUUGAGUGUGGCAGAGGGGGGUGGAAUUCCACGUGUAGCAGUGAAAUGCGUAGAUAUCUGGAGGAACACCGGUGGCGAAGGCGGCGUUCUGGACUGUAACUGACACUGAAGAACGAAAGCCAGGGGAGCAAACGGG